UCUAAUGUGGCAGAAAAAAUGCAAUAAAUUUAAGAUUUAUAUAUAAAGAAAAAUCUUUUUUUAGAA
This 66-nucleotide transfer RNA is filed under the name Ceratocombus japonicus. RNAcentral's name for it is "tRNA-Leu". Lineage: Eukaryota; Metazoa; Arthropoda; Insecta; Hemiptera; Ceratocombidae. The record is from RNAcentral.